Molecule: ribosomal RNA, 457 nt
Filed under: uncultured bacterium
Lineage: Bacteria
Description: bacterial SSU rRNA
Rfam family: Bacterial small subunit ribosomal RNA
Source: RNAcentral
CGGUCCUGAGUAGAGUGGCGCACGGGUGAGUAACGCGUAGAUAACCUGUCUUCAUGUCUGGAAUAAUACGCCGAAAGGGGUACUAAUACCGGAUAUUCUUGCUUUUCAUAAGUUAUGCAAGCAAAGGUGGCCUCUGCAUAUGCUACUGCAUGAAGAGGGGUCUGCGUACCAUUAGCUAGUAGGUGGGGUAAUGGCCUACCUAGGCGACGAUGGUUAGCGGGUCUGAGAGGAUGAUCCGCCACACUGGCACUGGAACACGGGCCAGACUCCUACGGGAGGCAGCAGUGAGGAAUAUUGCGCAAUGGGGGAAACCCUGACGCAGCGACGCCGCGUGAGUGAGGAAGGCCUUCGGGUCGUAAAGCUCUGUCAAGAGGAAAGAAGUGUACAAUGGCUAAUACCUGUUGUAUUUGACGGUACCUCUAAAGGAAGCACCGGCUAACUCCGUGCCAGCCGCCGC